This is an RNA transcript of Lolium rigidum, 2902 nucleotides long. It is a transcript of the gene named proteinaceous RNase P 1, chloroplastic/mitochondrial-like, with no coding region annotated. The record is from RefSeq and is a predicted model, not a curated record. NCBI's taxonomy places the organism in Eukaryota, Viridiplantae, Streptophyta, Magnoliopsida, Poales, Poaceae. The transcript has 8 exons.
AUGCGGCUCGCUGCGGCGGCGGCGGCCCUCCGCUCCACGGCGGCGGCCCUCCUCAUCCGCUCCCGCCCACACCCCCUCCCCUCCUCUCUGCACCGGUCCUCCCUCCCCUUAGCCCGCCGCCGCCGCCACUCCUACUCUUCCACCUCCACCGCGCUCGACGACCCUCCGGCGACGACUGCGCCUCCCAAUGUUCCACCCUCCCCCGCUCUACCACCGCCUGCAGAACAGGGUGGCGGAAGAAAGGCCGUCCGCCGGCGCAUGCACAAUUCCCCCGAGGGCCUCCUCAUGCACAAGCUCGACAUCUGCUCCCGCGACGCCGACCUCCCCACCGCGCUCGCCCUCUACGACGCGGCGCUCCACCCGGCCACCGCCAUCCCGCUCUCCCUCAACCACUACAACCGCCUCCUCUACCUCUGCUCCACCGCCGCAGCCGCCGAGUCCGCCGACGCCGCCCGCCGCGGCUUCGAGAUCUUCGCCAGGAUGGAGGCCCAGGGCGUGGAGCCCAACGAGGCCACCCUCACCAGCGUCGCCCGCCUCGCCGCCGCGCGCCGGGACCCCGCCACGGCGUUCUCCCUCGUCCGCCGCGUGGCCGCCGCCGGCACCCCGCCGCGCCUCCGCACCUACGGCCCCGCCCUCUUCGCCUACUGCGACGCGGGGGAUGCCGACGGGGCCGGCGAGGUCGAGGCCCACAUGGACGCCGCGGGGGUGGUGCCCGAGGAGACCGAGCUUGCCGCGCUGCUCCGCGUCAAUGCCAACAAGGGGAAGGCCGGCGAGGUGUACAGGGUGCUGCACAGGACGCGCUCACUCGUCAGGCAGGUGUGCGAGACGACCGCCGAGGUUGUCGAGGCGUGGUUCCGGUCGGACGCUGCUGCGGCGGCGGGAGUGGAGAAGUGGGACACCGGAAAGGUCAGGGAAGGGGUGGUGAAGGGCGGCGGCGGCUGGCAUGGCCAGGGCUGGCUUGGUAAGGGACAAUGGGACGUUGGGCGGAGCGAGAUGGACAAGAACGGUAAAUGUCAGCGUUGCGGGGAGAAGCUUGUGUGCAUAGACAUCGAUCCUUCUGAGACAGAGACCUUCGCCAAGUUGCUCACCCAACUCGCAUGCAAGCGGGAGGUCAGGGAGAAUUUCCCACGGUUUCAGGAAUGGCUCCGUCGCCAUGGACCAUUCGAUGCUGUUAUCGAUGCUGCUAAUGUUGGCCUUUACAAUAACAAAACAUUCAAUUUUUCUCAGGUGAACUCUGUUGUAAAUGGCAUACAGAGAAUAACUAAAUCAAAGAAAUUGCCACUGAUUGUUUUGCAUAGGAGCCGAGUUAAUGGUGGUCCUGCAAAACUUCCACAAAAUCAGAAGCUCUUAGAGGGUUGGCGAAAUGCUGGAGCAUUAUAUCCUACUCCUCCUGGUUCCAAUGAUGAUUGGUAUUGGCUGUAUGCAGCAGUUAGUUGCCGUUCGCUGCUUGUUACAAAUGAUGAGAUGCGGGAUCACCUGUUUCAACUUCUUGGCACUAGUUUUUUCCCCAGAUGGAAAGAAAAGCACCAGGUCCGGCUAACAUACUCAGGGCGUGGUCCUACUUUUCACUUGCCACCUCCUUAUUCCAUUGUUACUCAGGAAUCUGAAACUGGAAGCUGGCAUGUACCGACGACAACCGGUGAUGACAUUGAGAAUCCACGGCAGUGGGUUUGUGCCACUAGGAAAUCUUCAGUGGUUUGUGCAACUACGAAAACUUCGGAGGAAUCAUCUGCUCGGCCGAAAGCGAGGUUAAGCGAGAUGGGCUGGUAGACUAUGCUAGGCCUCAUUGGGGGUGCGGGAGCAUAUACCACAAUUAGAAUAAACACUGAGGUUCUGGCCUUGCUGCUCUGUCUAUUCGGGAAAGUGGUCUCUGCAGGAAUGGGUCCGUCGUGCCACCAUGGACCAUUUGAUGCUGAAACCGAUGCUGCUAAUGUUGGCCUUCACCAUAGCAAAUCCUUCAGUUCUUCUCAGGUGUUGGCUGUCUGCAGCUGUUAGUUGCCAUGUUGAACGAGACAAUGCAAAAAGGUUUGCUCCACUUUCUUGGAUGUAGGAACCUGAAGCCGGAAGUGGCAUGUACGGUACCGACAGCAACCGGUGAUGAUAUCGAAAAUCCACAGCAUUCGCAUUUUGCCACUAGCAGAGCUUUGCGGGAAUUAUUAGGUGAGUUAGCAGAGUCAUCAGCAGAAGCAAAUGGUGGAUGUGUUAUGUUUUCUGUCAGAUAAGAUGAGAGACGCUCACCACACACACCAUGUCACCCUCCUGCCUAUGGAGAUUUGGGGGUUGCUUCACUAGUUUCCUUCCUCUUUUUUGCAUGAACAAAAAAGAUGUGGCCUUAGAGUUUAGUAUAUCAGGUAUCGUUUUAUACCUGAUAUCACGAAGGUUCCACACCACCACUGGUGAACGGUCCCUGCCUUGGACCGCACGUGCAUGCUUAGCUGUACUUAUGAGACUUCAGGCAUGUCUAUCACGCUCGUGGUGCCAUUAUUUGAACAAGCUGGAUCUGAGAAAACGAUGGAGCGAAUGUGACACGUUCGAGCCGGGACCUAGUUGCUAGUAUAGGCUAGGAUGGUUACUGGUUUCGUGCUCACUCGUGGGCACUUGCAGAUCCAAGGAAUAGUUUUGAUGCUUGAUGAGUUGCUGGACCGACUACGAUGCGGUACUGUUGCCACUGGCUAGCAGUGACAUUUCCUUCUCUUUUUUCUUGGAAGACAGUGACUGUUCACUUCGUCCUCUCUUCUCCUGUCGAGUAGCUUUGGUGAUAAUUCCUAACUCGGGCACCAUGAGAUGCAUGUUCCCGUCGUGGCUGCAACCACUAUGGCAUAUCCUUAAGCAUCAUCGCAUUGCAAUCUACUGUAUACCGGAAUAGAGAGAUCCUGGAUAAGAAAACUGGUAUGUCAAAUAC